AAAACUUUCAACAACGGAUCUCUUGGUUCCGGCAUCGAUGAAGAACGCAGCGAAAUGCGAUAAUUAAUGUGAAUUGCAGAAUUCAGUGAAUCAUCGAGUCUUUGAACGCACAUUGCGCCCUCUGGUAUUCCGGAGGGCAUGCCUGUCCGAGCGUCAUUGCUGCCC
RNAcentral lists this ribosomal RNA (165 nucleotides) under Penicillium paxilli. RNAcentral describes it as "5.8S ribosomal RNA". It matches the Rfam family "5.8S ribosomal RNA". Rfam says of the family: 5.8S ribosomal RNA (5.8S rRNA) is a component of the large subunit of the eukaryotic ribosome. It is transcribed by RNA polymerase I as part of the 45S precursor that also contains 18S and 28S rRNA. Functionally, it is thought that 5.8S rRNA may be involved in ribosome translocation. Lineage: Eukaryota; Fungi; Ascomycota; Eurotiomycetes; Eurotiales; Aspergillaceae. The record is from RNAcentral.